UAUUAUAUUAUAUUAUAUUAUAUUAUAUAUAAGGCAAAUAAUAUAUAUUAUAAAUAUAUAUAAUAUAUAUAAUAGAAAUAUAUAUAACAUAUUAUAUAUUAUAUUCCCUAUUACAUAUUAUAUAUUCUGUAAAUGAUACCAUUUUAGUGUGUAAAUCUAAAGUCCAUAUGAGAGUUUAGAGAAGAAGGGUUUAGAGAAACCCCAAAUGAGAAACCCCAAAGGAGCAAGGGUGGAGUAAAAUUCUGUAAAAUCAGCUGAGCUGAGAGCUCAGGAAUCAGGAACCAGCUCCAAAUCCAGCCUGGCAUGGUUCAAAGCAGGCUUGAGAGGAAAAAAAGGUGCAAGGGUGGAGUAAAAUUCUGUAAAAUCAGCUCAGCUGAGAAUUCAGGAGUUCCAUGAGAGCUCCGUGCUCUAGAACCAGCUCCAAAUCCAGCCUGGCACAGCCUGGCACGGUUCAAAUUGGGAUUGAGAGGAAAGGAGGAGUAAGGGUGGAGUAAAAUUCCGUAAAAUCAACUGAGCUGAGAGCUCAGGAAUCAAGAACCAGCUCCAAAUCCAGCCUGGCACGGUUCAAAGUGGGCUUGAGAGGAAAAAAGGUGCAAGGGUGGAGUAAAAUUCCAUAAAAUCAGCUCAGCUGAGAAUUCAGGAGUCGGAACGAGCUCCAAAUCCAGCCUGGCACAGCCUGGCACGGUUCAAACUGGGCUUGAUAGAAAAGGAGGAUCAAGGGUGGAGUAAAAUUCCAUAAAAUCAGCUCAGCUGAGAAUUCAGGAGUCGGAACCAGCUCCAAAUCCAGCCUGGCACGGUUCAAAGUGGGCUUGAGAGGAAAGGAGGUGCAGGGAUGGAGUGAACACCAAAACAUCUGGCUGGCAGCUGCAGCCAGAGCAAAAACCCAGAUGGAAUUGGGAUUCCCCGACGGAAUCGGGGCCAGGAGCCGCCGCCGCGGCAGCAGGGUGCCACAAAGCUCCGUGGUCCCUCACACUCCUCGGAGCAAGGAGAGCAGCGGCGAGGCCCGAUCCUAAAAAUCCGGGCUCAAAAUUUCUGGGGGAAUUUGGGAAUUCAAGCUGCAGGAGCAGCCCCGCGCUCGGCUCGGCGUGGAGCAGGGAAUCCAGGGCUGAGGAGCGCCACCAGCCAGGAGCGAACACUCCAACCCAGCGUGGGGCUAAUGAAGGGCUUUUCUUUUUUUUUUUUUUUUUGGUUUUCAAGAGGAAAAUCAGCCGAGGUGCAGAAACAAACAGGGCUGAGCGUGUCGGAGAGGCAGCACGAGGUGGGAGAGAGGUUAAAAGGAGAGAUUCUGGGCACCGAGGAGCUCACAGGGAUGGUGGAAACAUCUCCCGCCGCUUCCCUGGGGAUUUCUGGGCCUUUCAGAGCCUCCAGGGAGAUGCUUAGGAAUGCCACCAGUGACUUCUGGGGACAGCCAGGACACAACCCCAGGAAUGCCACCACUGAGUUCUGGGGACA
RNAcentral lists this long non-coding RNA (1452 nucleotides) under Lonchura striata (white-rumped munia). RNAcentral's name for it is "domestica (Bengalese finch) lncRNA (ENSLSDG00000015861.1)". Lineage: Eukaryota; Metazoa; Chordata; Aves; Passeriformes; Estrildidae. The record is from RNAcentral.